AACGAACGCUGGCGGCAUGCCUAACACAUGCAAGUCGAACGCUAUCUUGUAUAGAGUGGCGCACGGGUGAGUAACGCGUGGGAACCUGCCUUUCUCUGCGGGACAACGGUUGGAAACGACCGCUAAUACCGCAUACGCCCUACGGGGGAAAGGUCAGCCGGAGAAAGAGGGGCCCGCGUUAGAUUAGCUAGUUGGUGGGGUAAUGGCCUACCAAGGCGACGAUCUAUAGCUGGUCUGAGAGGAUGAUCAGCCACACUGGGACUGAGACACGGCCCAGACUCCUACGGGAGGCAGCAGUGGGGAAUAUUGGACAAUGGGGGCAACCCUGAUCCAGCAAUGCCGCGUGUGUGAUGAAGGCCCUAGGGUUGUAAAGCACUUUCACUGGUGAAGAUGAUGACGGUAACCAGAGAAGAAGCCCCGGCUAACUUCGUGCCAGCCGCCGCCGUAACAC
This 451-nucleotide ribosomal RNA is filed under the name uncultured bacterium. RNAcentral describes it as "bacterial SSU rRNA". It matches the Rfam family "Bacterial small subunit ribosomal RNA", at positions 29 to 526 of the family's 1533-position model. The record is from RNAcentral.